UGUACUUAUUUCCAUCUACAGUUAAAGAGCUGCAAGCAGAAGUAUGCAAGCAAAAGUAUAGGAUGGUGGGAAUAGCUGAUUGUACCAAAUGAUUCAAACUAUCCAUCAACAGGAAAAUCCUUGAAUUAAUACAGAUACUUUUAGUGCAAGUGGUACCAAUCCAAACCAAAGUAGCUUAAGUAGAAAGAGGAUUCAUUGGCUCAUAUAACUGGGAGGCUAACUUCAGCCACAACUCAAUUCAGGGACUCAAACAAAAUUGUUCAGAUUCUGCUCCUCUCUCUGGGCCCUGCUUCCUUUUGAGCUGCACUAAUCCUCUCCUACUGCACCCUACCUUUUUCUAUGGGUCAGUGACUGCUCCAGCUGCAAUAAACACCCUUCCUGCUCUGCUAUGCCUUUAGACAUGGCCAUGUGUUUCAUGGCCAAAUUGAAAAACUACGAGAGAAGAACUCCUUGUGGCCCAGCUUAGGUCAUAUGCUCCUUCCUGAACCAAUUACAGUGCCCAGGGGAAUGGGGUACUAGGAGUGGCCAGGCCAGAAAGUUAUUUUGUUAGCUGGUUCACUAGAAUCAUUUCAUCAGAGA
RNAcentral lists this long non-coding RNA (579 nucleotides) under Homo sapiens (human). RNAcentral's name for it is "non-protein coding lnc-UBE2E3-8:1". The record is from RNAcentral. Lineage: Eukaryota; Metazoa; Chordata; Mammalia; Primates; Hominidae.